This 468-nucleotide ribosomal RNA is filed under the name uncultured bacterium. Its description in RNAcentral is "partial 16S ribosomal RNA". The stretch from base 21 to 320 matches the Rfam family "Bacterial small subunit ribosomal RNA", at positions 48 to 357 of the family's 1533-position model. The record is from RNAcentral.
GACGAACGCUGGCGGCGUGCUUAACACAUGCAAGUCGAACGGAAAGGCCCUGCUUUUGUGGGGUGCUCGAGUGGCGAACGGGUGAGUAACACGUGAGUAACCUGCCCUUGACUUUGGGAUAACUUCAGGAAACUGGGGCUAAUACCGGAUAGGAGCUCCUGCUGCAUGGUGGGGGUUGGAAAGUUUCGGCGGUUGGGGAUGGACUCGCGGCUUAUCAGCUUGUUGGUGGGGUAGUGGCUUACCAAGGCUUUGACGGGUAGCCGGCCUGAGAGGGUGACCGGAGCGAAGGGGAAUGAGAAAAGGGCGGGAGGAAGCAGGGGCGGGACAGGGGGGGAGGGUGCGGACGGGUUGGAGGUGAGAUGCCGCUGCGGCGGGGGAGGGAGGGGGGGAGUGGGGUGGGAAAAAAGUGUAGCCGGUUACGAAGGGGGAGUGGCGGUAGUGGGUAAAGAAGAAAAGGCUAACUAGACG